Parasteatoda tepidariorum (common house spider) is the source of this 1899-nucleotide non-coding RNA. The record is from RefSeq and is a predicted model, not a curated record. NCBI's taxonomy places the organism in Eukaryota, Metazoa, Arthropoda, Arachnida, Araneae, Theridiidae.
UUGCUAAUUCUUAAAUAUAUUUUGAUUUCAGCUGUUGUUGAUUUCUUUUAAACUGUAAUGUCAUAUUCUCCAAGACAUGACUGCAAAUCGAGAUCCUGGAAGAAAAUGAUACAGAAUUGACCUGGAAGAAAAUAAGUUUAAUUGGAAGGUGUAUUAUCCCAUUUUUGGUUCGACUAUGGUCAAAGAAAAUAUGAAAAUGCUAAAGAAAAACUCCCAUGUUUUGCUACUGCAAGGUGGGAGGUUGCUGUGACCUUUCAUUUAGUUUCACUCUUGGCCAUUCGUCAUAUUUAUGGAAAAUUUAUUUUCUCAUGUUUUAUUUAAACGUGUCUUUGUUUAAAUUUUUAAUUUUUUUGUAGAAAUUAAAUUGUGAAACUCUAAGGAUUGGUGAGCAAUGAAUAGAAGGGGCAUAGCCUUUAAUGUAGUUAAAAUAAACUAAGAAAUAUAUAUAUAUAUAGGCAUAAAAAUUGGAGUAUUAAAUAAAACUUAGAGAAAAGAGUGAGAAGAUCGCUGGAAAAGAACUGCUUUAGAAUUUUCAAGGACUAGCGAGCUAGAGUAGAACCCUCUUCUGAUUUUAAAAGAAAACAUUAAGAACUUAUCAGUGAUAGAAAUUACUCGUCCAUUAAAUUUGUGGGAGACUCUUACAAAAUUCCUUCGCUGCCAUGAGGAAAAAAGGUGACUAAUUUAAGCUCAAAAAUUAUAUGGAACACAGUGAAAGAGCGUCCGGCAACCUAAUUCCAUACAUUUCCCCAUAGAAAGGCACUGCCACGCGUGUUUCGGAAACAAGGAUUGGGACCCUUGACUAAUCUUUCGCAAUCAAGUUUAUUCUAGUUUGAUUUUCCGUAAAAAAAAUUUAUUCAAUUUUAGGUCAGAGAAUGUGAAUUAUUUAUUUUUUGUAAAUAUUACUUUUCUUUUACAAACCUACCUAGCUAGCAGUAAAAUAUUUAUUUUCAAAGAUCAUAUUUUAAGUUUCAUGUAUUUUAAAUUUGUUUUAUUUGUAACCUAUUUAUAAUUCCUGACUCCUCUUUUUUUAUUUUAGCAUUUCUUACCUUCAGUCACCAUACUUUUACAUAAAUGAAAUUAAUUAAUAAGGAAUUUUGCAUACUUCGCUCUAUUUUAUUUGAGUGAUUCUAUAUAUUCUUAAACCCUUUUACUGCUGUUGCCAUCAGACUCUAUAAUGUUUUCGUAUUUUUGCACUUUUUGUAUUUUAUAUACUUUUCUGUUUUUCUUGAUUUUAAUAAACAUUUAGCCGUAUGCCCUAAAUUGGGGCAGGUCGGGGUAAAUAUUUCAUAUUCUUAAAUCCUGUAUUAUAUGUUUAUUGACGAAUGUAAGUUACUCAAAAUUUUCACAAGAACCAACUUUCAAAAUGUGUAAUUCUGAAGUAUCAUGCCAUGGCAUGACAUAUCAUUAAAUUUCCACCGUUAUUCAACUGUAUCACAACUUAUGUUGGGAUUGGCUUUUCACCAGAAAAUUAAUUCUUGAAAGCAUUGAUAGCUCAAUUAAAGAUAUAAAAACUAAUUCACUUUCAUUUUAUGAUUUUAAAUUUAUUGUGAAUAUAUAAUGUUAAAAAUCAUGUUAAAAUGAGAAAAACUGAAACAAAACUGGACAUGUAAUAAAUUUUUUGCACGAUAAGAAAUAUUCUAGGACAAUGAUUGACAAAACACGAGAGUAUUGACCUGUAGUUGAGAUGACCUCUAAUUGAGAGUAUUGACCUGUAGUGCACAUAUGAAAGAAGUAUUUAAAUAAUUUCUGGAAUUAAGGUGUACUCCAUGCUACACAAUUUAUUUUCUCAUUUUAAAAUGAGUUGAAAAUUUGUGAUUCGUUUAUUUUGUUCAGCUUACUUAGUAUGUUACCUAAUGUAUCUCUUAUCUUUCAUGAAAUAAAUACUUAUAAAUCGCAAAA